UGGUCACUCCUCUCAAGGAAAGCAUUGCCAUAUCUUGGAAUAUACCUGUCACCUGACUUCCUCCUGUAGUCUCUCCUCUGUCAUAUUCUCUACUUGCCACAUAAAAGCAGGACUUCUUCAAAAGUAAAUCAAGUCACACCAAACACUCCAGUCCCUACCACAGCCUGUCUGAAAGGCUUUAACUGACCAGGCCUGCACCUUCAGCCUUAGCACUAACCAUAGCAUGUUGCUGGGUUUAAGAGACAAGAGAAGAGAAGUAGGCAUGACUUGCCAACAACAGAGCUGCCAUAGGGCAUGUUGCCUUCCACUUUGGGAUCUUCUAAAUUAUCUUUAAAACUCAGAGAACAUUGCAUUCUACACCUCAAUGUAUUUGUUUGCUUAAAUAUAAAAAUGGCACUACAAUAAAUUUCUUGAUUCGGAA
This is a long non-coding RNA of Mastomys coucha (southern multimammate mouse), 421 nucleotides long. RefSeq lists it as uncharacterized. NCBI's taxonomy places the organism in Eukaryota, Metazoa, Chordata, Mammalia, Rodentia, Muridae. The transcript has 2 exons. The record is from RefSeq and is a predicted model, not a curated record.